RNAcentral lists this long non-coding RNA (1725 nucleotides) under Macaca fascicularis (crab-eating macaque). Its description in RNAcentral is "lncRNA (ENSMFAG00000050152.1)". The record is from RNAcentral. Lineage: Eukaryota; Metazoa; Chordata; Mammalia; Primates; Cercopithecidae.
GAGGUUGCAGUGAGCUGAGAUAGUGCCACUGUGCUCCAGCCUGGGUGGCAGAGUAAGGCUCCAUCUCCGGGGGGGGGGGGGAAGCAAUACUUUGGUGCCUAAUUUUAUAGUAAGUUGUAUAUUUGUUUAUAAACGGGGCUCCAUAUAUUAUAUACACUUCAGCCCUACAAACCCUGCAUCUGCACCAUCCCUUUCCAUUAAUUCCUUACCUUCUAAUCAGUUGACCUUUCUGAAGCAUUUCUAAUAGCCUAGAGGGGCUCCUCUUGCCUCCCUCAGGAGAGUGGGCGGGGGAUGGCAGAAAGAAGCCAACAUUUUUUGCCAGCCAGUGGUGCUUCUCUAGGUAUUGUAACACCCAGACCUCCCAGUUAGGCAAGCAAUGGCUGUCCCAUGGGGACACGAGCAGAGUUCAGUGACUUGGCCUGUGGUGGGUUUGCACUGCGGUAGGUCUGCUAAACUGUAACUGCAUUUCCUAGAAUUCCCCUUCCUGAAAAGUUCUGAGGUAACAUGGGCAGGGAAGGAUGUUUGUGUGUGUCUUAGUUCAUUUUCUGUUGCUUAUAACUGAGUAUCUGAAGCUGGGUCAUUGAUAAAGAAAAGGCAUUUAUUUCUUACAGUUUGGGAGGCUGAGGUACUGCAUCUGGUGAGGGCCUUCUUGCUGAUGGAGAUUCUCUGCAGAGUCCUAAGGUGGCAGGGAUACAGACAGGCUCCAGGCUCCUCCAGCUCCUGGUGGAUCUCGUGUGGUCGUGAUUGUAUGAAAAUCAGGUUGCCUGUAGUUUCAGGACACUCUCUACAGGUGUAGUUUUGACUUUGCAAAGCCCUGAACACGCCCUGGCCAGCGAUAGGAGGAGAUGCCGAAUGCCUCACAUUCACCGUCAGCAGCCCUCAGGUUUCAGCCUUCCUUGCUAACUGCCAGGUAUAAAUCUUCAACUAUUGUCACUGUGAACUUUCUUUUUAUCUUGGAAACCUCAAACAUCAUAGUGUGUGACUUCUGGUGUAUUCAUACCAAAUAGAUCCAAGCAAAGCAAACACAAAUUCAUUGGCAGCAGCAGAGAAUGCUCGGUCAAUCACUGAACACGGCAUCUAGCGUCUGGAACAACGGUGAUCGUGCGAUGGAGCGGACCAUGAGUGGAUUGCAAGUUGGAUUACAUCCAGUCCCAGGCUAUUCUCUUGGGGUCUGCAGUAGGAGAUUCUGUCAAAGCCCCUCCAUUUCCUCUGUUCUGGCAUUAGAACAUCUGGUAGAUCCCCAGGUGGCUGGACUCUCUGUGUGGGAGGUGGGGAGCCCCUGGCAGGAACUGGGGUGGCCCCUCUGGCUGUGCUAGACAAGCACCAAUCCACAGAGCUUUUCAAUGUCCCCAAGGCACUUGGGGGGUGUCCACUGAGUGGCAGUUUCUUCUCAUCUAUCAAUGGGCUGCACCCCCAACUGACAGUCCCAUGACCUGCCCUGGCUUGGGGGAGCCUCCACCCUGCCUGGGCCUCCCAGUUCACGCAGUGGAGAGGGCACCAUUCCUCCCAGUACUGUCCAGUCCAACACCCAGGGACCUGGGCACAUCCACACAUGCCUCCUAACUCAUUCCCCCAGGUAGCAUAGGGUCACCUAGGCAAAGGAAAUUCCAGGACCCACUUUACUCAAGACCCAGGGACAUUCCUAUUUUCCAAAUGAACAUCACUCACGUUGCCUAGGAAACAGCCUCACCUCAAAGAACAUUGGCUCAAAUAAAGGCAACACUA